This 422-nucleotide ribosomal RNA is filed under the name uncultured bacterium. RNAcentral describes it as "bacterial SSU rRNA". It matches the Rfam family "Bacterial small subunit ribosomal RNA", at positions 355 to 774 of the family's 1533-position model. The record is from RNAcentral.
UGAGGAAUAUUGGGCAAUGCCCGCAAGGGUGACCCAGCAACGCCGCGUGGAGGAUGAAUGUCGUAAGAUUGUAAACUCCUGUUAGAGGGGAAGAAUAGUACCGGUUGGACCGGUAUAUGACUGUACCCUCAGAGAAAGCCCCGGCUAACUACGUGCCAGCAGCCGCGGUAAUACGUAGGGAGCAAGCGUUGUUCGGAUUUACUGGGCAUAAAGGGCGCGUAGGCGGCGCGGUAAGUCACUUGUGAAAUCUCUGAGCUUAACUCAGAACGGCCAAGUGAUACUGCUGUGCUAGAGUGCGGAAGAGGCAACCGGAAUUCUUGGUGUAGCGGUGAAAUGCGUAGAUAUCAAGAGGAACACCUGAGGCGAAGGCGGGUUGCUGGGCCGACACUGACGCUGAUGCGCGAAAGCCAGGGGAGCAAACG